Molecule: transfer RNA, 82 nt
Filed under: Echinostoma caproni
Lineage: Eukaryota; Metazoa; Platyhelminthes; Trematoda; Plagiorchiida; Echinostomatidae
Rfam family: tRNA
About the family: Transfer RNA (tRNA) molecules are approximately 80 nucleotides in length.
Source: Rfam by way of RNAcentral
AGCCUCGUAGCUCAGCUGGUAAAGCGUGCGCGUACAAAGCGUAGGCGGCGUUCAUGAGUGAAUUCGAAUCCCACUGAGGCUA